Paramacrobiotus metropolitanus is the source of this 812-nucleotide long non-coding RNA. RefSeq lists it as uncharacterized. The transcript has 3 exons. The record is from RefSeq and is a predicted model, not a curated record. Lineage: Eukaryota; Metazoa; Tardigrada; Eutardigrada; Parachela; Macrobiotidae.
CAAUCCAGAUUGCAGAUGAUCGAAAUCUGAUGAUGAAAUUGGCCAACUACGGCACAGCUGUAUGCAUUGUACAAAAAUCUGGCUACCGGUUGUACAUCCUCGUGAUUAUUACGAGUUAUAAACGCCAACGAACCCAACCAAUCAUACGAAGUUUUCAUUUACGAGGAUUUUCGUUGGAGCUGCGGUUGGUGUCGCUUGAAUGGGAAGAGUACCCCGUGGAGCAAGAUAGUUUCCGGUUGUAAUCAAGCGGGAAUAAUUUUUCUGCAACAACAAUAGAAGAUAGAAAUCGGUCGACUCAUCGCCAUUUAGCUAAAAUGCCCCUGCUGUGGAAACAACCUGGACUGUGCCUAUUCCAGCUGCAGUUCAAUCAGGAUUACACCAGCUGCAAGGACGUGCCAUUACGUAAACACUGGAAUUAGGUAUUCCCACGCGCAAGACCGAAAUAUUACCGCCUAUUUAGUGGAUCAUGAAACAGCCACAAUACAGGCAAUCUAAAUCAGGCCACGCAAAGAAAAAAAUCAAGGAUCGGUCCGGCUUUAUUCUGCGCUCACGUAUGGUUUAGGUGCUUUCACCCCACUUACUCGCUUAAAUAUCUUGUUCCGCGUAAACCCUUAAUUGUGAUAUUUGAUAUGAAUGCUCCAGAUUUCUCAGUUAAUUUGACUACAUUUUGUAAUUUCAUGAUCAAAGUACACGGAAAACCGAAGCUUUUACAGCUAUUCGAAUCGUCAAGACUUACUUUUCUAAUGUGUUCGAGACUUCGAGUAGAUAUUGUAUCGUUUGUUUAAAUUAAUGCUCCAAACAAAAAUUUAGGA